This 176-nucleotide ribosomal RNA is filed under the name uncultured Shewanella sp. Its description in RNAcentral is "partial 16S ribosomal RNA". It matches the Rfam family "Bacterial small subunit ribosomal RNA", at positions 297 to 461 of the family's 1533-position model. The record is from RNAcentral. Lineage: Bacteria; Pseudomonadati; Pseudomonadota; Gammaproteobacteria; Alteromonadales; Shewanellaceae.
AGGCCCCCCCCCCCCCCCCCCCGCGCGGCGGGCGGGGCGGGGGCACGGGGGGCCUACGGGAGGCAGCAGUGGGGAAUAUUGCACAAUGGGGGAAACCCUGAUGCAGCCAUGCCGCGUGUGUGAAGAAGGCCUUCGGGUUGUAAAGCACUUUCAGUAGGGAGGAAAGGUAGCAGUUU